Molecule: long non-coding RNA, 328 nt
Organism: Cloeon dipterum
Lineage: Eukaryota; Metazoa; Arthropoda; Insecta; Ephemeroptera; Baetidae
Exons: 3
Source: RefSeq, a predicted model, not a curated record
AUCAAGAAGCCAAAUGUGCAAUUCGCAAAGACAAAGUUUUCCAACAUUCUUUGAGCGAUUCGAAUUGCCUUCCUGAGCAUAAAAAGCGUUGCAUUACAGCCGGCGGCUGUCAUUAGAUUUUUAUUCGAAAAAGCAACCACUGCUCAUUGAAAAAAUGAUUCGUCGCUUUGGAUACGAGCGGAUGCCCUUGGACAACGAAUUCAUGGAGUACAUGUUGAAACAUUUCUCCUUGCUGGGGUUCAUCAUUUUUGUCAUCGGAGGAAUUUUCUAUCUGAUUUUGCUCGGCUUGAGAUUCAUCAGCAACCUGUGGAAGGAGUGGUUGGACUGA